GGAAUCUUCCACAAUGGACGCAAGUCUGAUGGAGCAACGCCGCGUGAGUGAAGAAGGUUUUCGGACCGUAAAGCUCUGUUGUUGGUGAAGAAGGAUAGAGGUAGUAACUGGCCUUUAUUUGACGGUAAUCAACCAGAAAGUCACGGCUAACUACGUGCCAGCAGCCGCGGUAAUACGUAGGUGGCAAGCGUUGUCCGGAUUUAUUGGGCGUAAAGCGAGCGCAGGCGGAAGAAUAAGUCUGAUGUGAAAGCCCUCGGCUUAACCGAGGAAUUGCAUCGGAAACUGUUUUCUUGAGUGCAGAAGAGGAGAGUAGAACUCCAUGUGUAGCGGUGGAAUGCGUAGAUAUAUGGAAGAAUACCAGUGGCGAAGGCGGCUCUCUGGUCUGCAACUGACGCUGAGGCUCGAAAGCAUGGGUAGCGAACAGGAUUAGAUACCUUGGUAGUCCAUGCCGUAAACGAUGAGUGCUAAGUGUUGGGAGGCUUCCGCCUCUCAGUGCUGCAGCUAACGCAUUAAGCACUCCGCCUGGGGGAGUACGACCGCAAGGUUGAAAC
This 551-nucleotide ribosomal RNA is filed under the name uncultured bacterium. Its description in RNAcentral is "partial 16S ribosomal RNA". It matches the Rfam family "Bacterial small subunit ribosomal RNA", at positions 358 to 900 of the family's 1533-position model. The record is from RNAcentral.